RNAcentral lists this ribosomal RNA (484 nucleotides) under uncultured bacterium. RNAcentral's name for it is "partial 16S ribosomal RNA". It matches the Rfam family "Bacterial small subunit ribosomal RNA", at positions 28 to 523 of the family's 1533-position model. The record is from RNAcentral.
GACGAACGCUGACGGCGUGCUUAACACAUGCAAGUCGAACGAUGAAGCUGGAGCUUGCUCUGGCGGAUUAGUGGCGAACGGGUGAGUAACACGUGAGAAAUCUGCCCUUGACUCUGGGAUAACUGCGGGAAACUGUAGCUAAUACCGGAUACUUUCCCUGGUGGGCAUCCACUGGGGAAGAAAGAAUCUCGGUCAAGGAUGAUCUCGCGGCCUAUCAGCUUGUUGGUGAGGUAAUGGCUCACCAAGGCGACGACGGGUAGCCGGCCUGAGAGGGUGACCGGCCACACUGGGACUGAGACACGGCCCAGACUCCUACGGGAGGCAGCAGUGGGGAAUAUUGCACAAUGGGCGCAAGCCUGAUGCAGCAACGCCGCGUGAGGGAUGAAGGCCUUCGGGUUGUAAACCUCUUUUAGCAGGGAAGAAGCGAAAGUGACGGUACCUGCAGAAAAAGCACCGGCUAACUACGUGCCAGCCGCCGCAGUAA